CCCUUAGAUGUUCUGGGCCGCACGCGUGCUACACUGAGCGGGCCAACGGGUGAGGAUGUGCGAAAGCGCUUCCCAAUCUCUAAAUCCGCUCGUGCUGGGGAUCGAGGCUUGCAAUUAUCCCUCUUGAACGAGGAAUACCUUGUAAGCACGGGUCAUCAUCCCGUGCUGAAUACGUCCCUGCCCUUUGUACACACCGCCCGUCGCUCCUACCGAUUGAGUGGUCCGGUGGGGCCUUGGGAGGGCUAAGUGGGCUGUGUUUCACAGACUACCUGGCCCGAACCUGGUCAAACCUUAUCACUUAGAGGAAGGAGAAGUCGUAACA
RNAcentral lists this ribosomal RNA (322 nucleotides) under uncultured eukaryote. RNAcentral describes it as "partial 18S ribosomal RNA". It matches the Rfam family "Eukaryotic small subunit ribosomal RNA", at positions 1470 to 1796 of the family's 1831-position model. The record is from RNAcentral.